This 262-nucleotide unclassified non-coding RNA is filed under the name uncultured fungus. Its description in RNAcentral is "sequence contains ITS1, 5.8S rRNA gene". The stretch from base 214 to 262 matches the Rfam family "5.8S ribosomal RNA", at positions 1 to 49 of the family's 154-position model. The record is from RNAcentral. Lineage: Eukaryota; Fungi.
UCUCCGUAGGUGAACCUGCGGAGGGAUCAUUACUGAGUGAGGGUCUCCGGGCCCGACCUCCAACCCCGUAACUACCUUACCAUCCGUUGCCUCGGCGGGCCGUCGACUCCCUCGGGCGUCGCCGUCGGCCCCCGCGCCCUCGAGCGCCCGCCGCAGGACCAACCCCAAACCCCUCGCGAACCCAGCGGACUGAAACGAAAUUAAAUACUUCAAAACUUUCAACGACGGAUCUCUUGGUUCUGGCAUCGAUAAAGAACGCAGC